UUUCUUCGAGAGCCCUGACCCUCCUUGGCAUCUUCUUUGGCCCUAGGCAUCUUUCGAGUCAUCCCUGUCCUCGCCCUUCUGCAUCCUCCAGAGCGAUCUAGGUUAGUCCCAGAACCUUCAUUUUUCUUCUUGCCACUUAGGGGCCUUUUCUCCUCCAUUUUCUUCUGUUGUAUUCCCCCGAUUUGGUCUCCCGCAACCUCUCAUCCUUUGUCCUGUCUGAUUUCUCUGGGAUCUUUAGGGCCUUCAUUUGAAGUCAUUCGAAAUGUCUUCUGGCACCUCCGUCUCUAGCGGUUUCGGGAGUUCUUCCGCCUCAGCCCCCC
RNAcentral lists this long non-coding RNA (320 nucleotides) under Elaeis guineensis (African oil palm). RNAcentral's name for it is "long non-coding RNA (EGUI_LNC076214)". The record is from RNAcentral. Lineage: Eukaryota; Viridiplantae; Streptophyta; Magnoliopsida; Arecales; Arecaceae.